AAUUACGAGGUCCUUCGUAUUAUUGAUUAUUUUUAAUAAUACUAUUGCUAAGCUGCUGACACCUCUGAUCCUUUGCAACAAAUCAAUUAUAAAUUGUUAUUAUGAAUUACCAGCCGCAACACCAGCUGAUGUUUACAGUUAAAACCUACAUUUAUUCAAAUUCUUUAGGUUGUUAUAAUGUGAUGGCGGCUCUGUUCAGUGAAUUUACUCUACAUUACCCAAAGUACCAGGCGUGUGCGCAAGAGGAGGCUGUAGGAGGCUCAAGCUCAGGUGCUAAAUAAACUAAUUAUUGGGGACACACAUAGUAACGAUGGAGGAUGUUUUAAGAAAAUACAUUCUUGUUUGUCAGUGUCUGUUUUUGACAGCACAAGAACAAUAUUUGUUUCUGAAAACAAAUGUUUCAGGAUCAAAAACUAAUAAAGAAAUCAAGGGUAUCAUAGCUUUUUGAUAAGAUAAGAACGUCGUUAUUACUCCCUCAGCUGGGAAAUUGCACCUCAUAACAGCAACAGGACAGAAAACAAACAAACCAUACAAACACACAUCCAUUAACAAAGCACACACCCAUAAACAGAGCAAAUGCAGUGAACUGUUCUGAUUGUAGAGUCUGAUGCAGCAGGUAGGAAGGAUCUGUGAUAUCUCUCCUUCACACAGUGAGUCACACAGUCACAGUCUGCUACUGAAGCUGCUCCAGAGCAGACAGUGAGUCCUGGUCCAGGAUGGAUGUGGGUUCAGCCAGGACCCUCCUCUCACCACCUCCUGCACCGUGUCCAGAGUGCAGCCCAGGACAGAGCUGGACUUGUUGAUGAUCCUGUCCAGUCUCUUCCUGUCAUCACUGUGAUGCUGCUGCUCCAUCAGACCACACGUACACGAUGAUGAUGCCUCCAGAGUCAUAGAAGGUCUUCAGGAGCGGCCCCUCACUCCAAAAGGCUCAGUCUCCUCAGCAGUGUGAUGACAGCAGGCUGUCGUCAGCGGAUGAUUUUACGUCAGCUCCAGUUGAACCACAGUGGAGGCAUCCUCAGGUCAUGUGACUUAUUGCCAGCCAGGAGAGGGAAAUCAAAGGCCCAGUGUGAGGGAGAUCUUCUGAGACACUGAGCUGUUGUAAAUGCGGAUUUCCUUCUUUUGUUUUUUGGGGGGAUUUUCACAAUCGCUAUAGUGAGGGUGAACAGUACAAGGUCACACCCACCAUCUAAACCUUUUGGAAGUUACUGAUAGAAAAAGUGGUAAUUGAAGCUAAUUUGUAAGUGCACAAAAAUGCACAAAAUAACUUAAAUGUUUAAAGUCCCUUUACGACCAAUUUAAAUUAAAUGUAAUUGUUAUGUAUAUUAUGUAUAAGUGUAAGUUCCACACGGUUUUUUGUUGUUAUCAGAGGUUGCAUUUUAUUGUGAAGGCAGACUCCGGGCGUGUUAUGCUUACUUUUGUGAAAUGAAGGAUCAGUGCAGCAUCGAAAACGCGCAGUCUGCAGAGAAGGUAAAGAUACACAACAGAUACACAAAGAGGGUUCCCUCCAUCAACAUCAGCCUUUAAAUACAUAAAACGCCCCGGUAAUAUUCAUUCAUAUUUCGUACAUUGACAUCUAGCAUUAAUAUAUUACCUAACAGAAUUAUCUGAGAUACAAUUUCUAAGACACUUUUACGAGUGGAGCAGUCAGCCUUUAACUCCUGUAUAAACGCUUUGAUUUUAAUUCCACUAGUAAUGUCAUAAGGAAUCAGUGUAUCACGGUUAUGAAAGAUUAAUAAU
This is a long non-coding RNA of Betta splendens (Siamese fighting fish), 1737 nucleotides long. RefSeq lists it as uncharacterized. The record is from RefSeq and is a predicted model, not a curated record. NCBI's taxonomy places the organism in Eukaryota, Metazoa, Chordata, Actinopteri, Anabantiformes, Osphronemidae. The transcript has 3 exons.